RNAcentral lists this ribosomal RNA (490 nucleotides) under uncultured Devosia sp. RNAcentral's name for it is "bacterial SSU rRNA". It matches the Rfam family "Bacterial small subunit ribosomal RNA", at positions 94 to 619 of the family's 1533-position model. Lineage: Bacteria; Pseudomonadati; Pseudomonadota; Alphaproteobacteria; Hyphomicrobiales; Devosiaceae. The record is from RNAcentral.
AGCGGCAGACGGGUGAGUAACGCGUGGGAAUCUACCUAGUUCUACGGAACAACUGAGGGAAACUUCAGCUAAUACCGUAUACGCCCUAAGGGGGAAAGAUUUAUCGGAAUUAGAUGGGCCCGCGUAAGAUUAGCUAGUUGGUGGGGUAAUGGCCUACCAAGGCGACGAUCUUUAGCUGGUCUGAGAGGAUGAUCAGCCACACUGGGACUGAGACACGGCCCAGACUCCUACGGGAGGCAGCAGUGGGGAAUAUUGGACAAUGGGCGCAAGCCUGAUCCAGCCAUGCCGCGUGAGUGAUGAAGGCCUUAGGGUUGUAAAGCUCUUUCAGUGGGGAAGAUAAUGACGGUACCCACAGAAGAAGCCCCGGCUAACUUCGUGCCAGCAGCCGCGGUAAUACGAAGGGGGCUGGCGUUGUUCGGAUUUACUGGGCGUAAAGCGCACGUAGGCGGAUUGUUAAGUCAGAGGUGAAAUCCUGGAGCUCAACUCCAGA